This 19805-nucleotide long non-coding RNA is filed under the name Phoenix dactylifera (date palm). RNAcentral's name for it is "long non-coding RNA (PDAC_LNC002570)". The record is from RNAcentral. Lineage: Eukaryota; Viridiplantae; Streptophyta; Magnoliopsida; Arecales; Arecaceae.
AAACAAAAAAAAAACUUCUCAUAGAAAUUCCUGUGAUUAAAUUGAGUAUUAAUUAAUUAAUAGACGUCUCUGAGAAAAAUUAAUUAAUGAUGUUUGCUGUGUAACAAACGAAGAGUCGAAGUUGGUGUUGGUGGGGGAGCGCUGUCUCCAGCUGUGCUAUGCUGGCUCUUUGGUCUUUGCUUUUCUCCCCGGCUAUUUCUAUAUGCGCUUAGACCCUCCCCUGAAGUGAAAAUAACAGUCGAGGGACUAAGUUCGCUGACAUCUCUCGCUCGUCGCUGAGAAUUUUAGAGCAAAGAGACCCUCCUUUCGUUUCCCUUUUGUUCUUUUUUCUUUUAAUAUGCCAUUAUUGAUGCCGUAGUGGACAAGCUGUUUUGCAUUUCUCACUUUUAUUUCACUUCAGGGUCCUUCCGUUAUCCAACCCCUAAUUUACUGCCAUUUAUUACUAUUUGACUACUGCCAUUUAAUGUUUAGUCCAUUUUAUGUUUCAAUCUCUAUAUACAAUUAAGUUUUUGUUUCACUAUGCAAUUUUUGACCUAUAAUUGAAACCUGUUUCCUAUUUCUCAUUUUACUUUAUUUAUAUUUAGAAUCCUUCUUUUAUUUAGCACUUGAUUUAUUGUCCCAUUCUCGCUAUAAAAUUACUUCCAUUUCAAUAUUAGGGGUGGGCAAACCCCAACAUGGUUUAAUGCCAUUUAACAUUGUUUAGCUGAUAUUUGAUAUCUAUUUGGCUAUAUAGUAUUACUAUGUUAUUUUGUGUAUAUAUAUAUAUUAGUACAAUGUGUAUAUAUAUAUAUUAGUACAAUAUGUUAUUUUGUGGAUAUGAUUGCAGCAUACAAAAUCAAAAAAAAAAGAUAAUACAAAAGGUAAAACACCGUAGUUUUUUUUAGAUGAAGCCUUCAGAAUAAUGAGCCACCUAGUUAGCUGUGGACAUGCAUGGCCGAUGAAAAUUACUCAUUUAAGAGAUCAUAGAUAUUGUGGAGCAGCGGUACAGAGCCAUAUAUAUUUUCAAACAAAGUUAUAACACUUAUAAAUGGUUAAUCAAAUCAAGGAUCCAGUAAAAAAAAUAAUUUUAUCAAUAAAGAUUUAAAUAUAAAGUGAUGUCAAUUAACCUCGAUUUCCCAACAGUAAAAUAUGGUCAUGCUUCAUUCACCUGUCAAAUCAUAAUGCAUGCAAGCAUGGACCAGAGGUGAACGGCAAUUGAAACGCUCCUCUGGAAUGUUUCCAUUUACGGCUAUGAAACAUCCCCCAAAUCAUUAAAUUCUGUAUCGGGUACUGGGAGCAAGAAUAACGUGGAGGAGACGACCGGAAAUAAAUACGCUCUCUUCCAGUGCGGGUUUCGUUCACCCGACGGUAGAUUUUCUCGGCUGUUCAUCCGCCUUUCAAAACUUCCCAGAUCCGACCAGGGACUUUGGAUAUCUAUCUAGUUGUUCUAAAAUCUAAAUAACGUAAUCUUAUCUUAUCCUCUUCAUAAUUUUUAUUAUUAUUAUUAUCGUCGUCGUCAUCAUUGUUGUUAUAGCUGGAUUCCGUUGACAUGGCGACCGGACACUCCGACCAACGACUCGGUCCCGACGCGUGGAGUGGUGGUCCCAUCGAGUGGACCUCUCCGCCGUACGUCCGAUAUCGGUUGAACCGCUAGGAAAGCGCACAUUUCGCGUGAAACUCAUCCCUUGUGGUCCCCAUGAGCUGGUGAGAGGGUGCAAGUCUGGGUGCUAACCAGGUGAAAGUAGAAAUUAUGUUACUUUCCUACGCCAUUUUUUUAUGGUACACCAGCUCACAUGCAGCAGCAGGAGGUACGAAUGCGCGGCCAAUAAAAUCAAAAAAUAAUAGCUCACUAAAAGGCUUUGAUAAAAAUUCUUGGUCCUCCUAUAUAAAUUCUAAGUGGUGAGCAGCAAAAAACGCGACCUAAUCCGCCGCACUAUUCGCUAGACUUUCGUGGCCGUAUAGAAACCACACUUUUUCAAUAGUCGCAGACGUCGUAGAGCAUUGGCCGUCUCUCCCAGCACCUCUCUGACUCCAGAUCUACUCGAAUACCGUUGCUGAGUCACUCUCAAAAAAAGACGAUUUGUACCUAAGAUGCACCUCGCGAAAGUGAUACUCUCUCAAGCAAUUCUGAGCGCACAGACAGCAAUCAUGUCGAAGACGCAUCGGCUCGACCGCGGAUUGAAAGGUCAGCAGGAAUGCUGAAAAGAUUCGGCUAAAUUACGAAAAUGCUCCAGAACGGGGGAUUGUCGCAGCACAGAUCGCAAAGCACUCCAUACUCAUCAUCGAUCCGGUAGCACAGAUUUCAAAGGGGAUCAGUGGAUGAUCCAACGGUGCAUUCGGGCGAAGAAAGCUGAAUCCUUCCUUCUUCCGCGCGAAAGAUACGCCCCCCGACAUGGCGCAAGGCAAAUUAAUACGUUGGGCAACAAGAGCGGCACAACUGGCGGAGAAACGCGUGAGAAAGGGGAGGGCGCUGAGAAGAGAGUGAAAUCCCGUGAACAAAUGCAAUGCAAAUCCCCGCAGUAUCACCUCUCCCACUGUCCCGUAUUCUUGUCCUUUUUCUAAGUGACAUGAUAACAUCCUUAUGGGGAUGCAUCUAUGCUCCUAGUCCAAGGUGUUAGCCUAGAUAUACAAAUAUAAUUAAUAAAUCAAUAAUACAAUGGUCCUAAUAUUUAUGAAGAGUAAAUAAAAAGAAUAAAUUAGUAAAUUAUUUACUUGACAAUAGAAUAAUAAAAAAAUAAGAAAAAAUGGUAUGUAGAUCGAAGCAUGCUGACGUGCUGUCCUAGAAAAGUUUAUAUCUCCUACACAUGGAUUUGCUGGCAUAGAUCUCCUAGAGAUACGACGACCUAGUACAGAACCUCAUCUUCUCCAUCAGUGCGCCUCCAGGAGACGCUUGCAGAUAGCUCAAAAGAAACUCGAAAAAAUAAUGAAAAUUAUGAUGAGAAGUAAAUAAGAACAAGAGGAAGAAAAGAAAUUUUUUGUCCCUUUGAAAUGAUCCCUAGAGCCCUUUGUUAAAUUGCUCGUGGGCCACCCAAAAAAGUUAACAGGCGUGUCAAAAGAAGUAGACGCAGGCCAAAAGAAGCAGAAUUUUGCUAAAAGAAGAAAAGAGCCUGUUGACGCGGCCCAAUCGCGCGGACAGCGCGCGAUCGCAUGCGGACGGGACAAGUGGCAAACAUCCAAGCACAAGCAAUGGGUCAAAGAAGGAAGGAACGUGUGCAUAAUCCAUGAAGGAGUCCGUAGACUCUUCCAUAAAAGCCAAACGAGCAGAAGCAUGGGCGGCCAAGAUGCAACAUGCCGCCGGAUCAAAGGAGCACAAAAAGACAUGUCAUCAAUCCGCGGGAGCCAGCAAAUUCAGCACAUGGCGGCAAGGGAUCUGACUUAGUUUGAAUCCCCUUGCGGCUGAUUAGGAAGAUUAUUUGAAUUUUAAAUUGUUGCCGCCAAUAAACUUAUUCAGCACAUGGGCAUUAGGCCCAUAUAAAGGGCGCGGGAAAGAACGAAAUCAAGAAAAAAAAAGUGAAGAUUAAAUGCAGCAUGGUUUUCAAAAAAAUUUAAAAAUAUUUAAUUUAAUUCAACACAAGGCACCAAAGAACUCUUGGGGUCUUCAAAUGUUGAACAUAUGCAUGCUUCCUACUCCAUGCAAGCUCCAAAUGUACCUUCUUCUUUCUUUUCUUGGUCAAUCCAUAUAUACAAGAUAUGAAUUCCUUCUUCUUGUUUUUGAUUAAUGAGACUAAGUAUGCUAUAUAUAAUCCAGUGAGAAAAGUCUUCUUCACUUGAAAAGUAAUGUGUAGUUUCGUAACAUGGUCAUGCUACAUGUAAUCAAGGGAGAAAAGUUUUCUUCACUUGAAAAGUAAUGUGUAGUUUUCUCUCGGGGGUAAGCAAGAGCUAACUCACCAUAAUAACAUUACUUUUGUUCUUAUAAUGCAGUGCAAGGUCUUUUUCAAUGUUGAUCCACCAAAUCGCUAGAAAGCUUGUGAAGCUAUUUGUUCUCCUUCUUUUAAUUGAUUUGAGCCAUUAGGUAUGAUUACGACUGUUUGUUGGUCUAGUCCUUGUAUUAAGGAUAGUUUUAGAUUGGAGAAUGGUUUGAAAUAGUCAAGUUAGAAGAGCUUGUCACUUGCCUGGAGAAUUAAAUCUAAUUAUACUAUUGAAUUGCUGAAUUAUAAAAGCAAUAAACCUGGAGUAAAUUGCAGGACCUGAAGAAAAAGUGUUGUCCAAGCAUCUUUUUCCAUCUUAUUUUCCUCCUCCACCUCUUUCCAACCCAUAAAGGGCCAAGAAUAACUUUAUUAGAGUUUUUACUUGUUCUAAUAUAUAGAUUAAUUGGGUAUUUCUGCGAGUAAAGAGGGAUGAUUCUCUAAUCAUAGCUCGUUCGACUACGUAACCUUUUAAGUUUGGGUUGGGGGUGUAGUUCUUAUCUUCUUGCGCUUCUACUGGUGGAUUUUUGGGUUCUUAGUACGAGCUGAGUUGUUGCCCCUGCAGAAAAAUCUUACGAUCGUAGUUGUUGAUAGAAUUUUAUGGGAUUCCUCUAGAAAAAUUAAGGUACAUCCUGAAGUCCUUACCUUCAUCUUUUAUGGACACAUCUGCUAUUUUUUCCAAGUACAAAAGCAUCAUUACGUUUAUAAUGUCCUCAUCAUUGAUGGCAAAGUCACAGCCUUGAGAUGUUUAUAGUCUAGGACCCUUUUUCAUUGAAUAUUAGAAAGAGGGUAUUAGAUUUAGCCACUUGACAUAAUUCUAAAUAGAAGGUUAAGAAAUAUUUUCUACCUAGAACACUAAAAUUCUUUGUUGGUUAAUAACAUGCACUGACUGCUUGUGCAUUAUUCUACCAAGAAAUAAACAAGCCUCAAAUACUAAAGUCAUUCCUCUUGAAAGAAGUUUACAAUAGAUCACUAUGUAGUAGAGGAAAAAAAAAUAAAUGCAAGGAAACAAUUUUAAGGUGCAUAUGCACCAAAGUUCGAGUGUUUCCUUUGUCCCCCAAUGCUCAUGGGGGUGGAGAGUUUAUAAUACAGCUAAGAAGGGCAACUAUCUUUGGUGAGCACAGUAUGCCGCCAGGAUUGGUAGUAGAGAAUGCCCGUAUGCAGACGGUGGAGCUCAGUUUCAUCACAUCUGUUAUAGGGAUCUUGACAGCUUGGGACACCUAAGGUUUUCUUUCUGCUUCGGCAGUAUCCUGCGUGAUGUUUUUUAGCUGAGAGCCCCCACCUCCGAGUUUCCUCAAGAUCAAUUUCGACGAAUCUGUCUUGGAUGGAGGUACAUGGGGCAGUGUGAGUUUUGUUAUUCGGGGCCCGUCUACCAGAGUUGUGACUGCAGGAGGCAAUCAACUCUUCGACACAUCGGUUCCGGGUGUGCAGAACUGCGGGACACUUGGGCGGGUCUUUGUCACGCCCGGUGUAUCUUACAGGCUAGUUUCAUUGUCCUAGAGGGGGACUCGGUCACCGUCAUCAGUUGGAUCCGGAGGAGUUCGAGGGGCUACGAUUGGAUCCACCCUUUACUGUGAGAUAUUUGGGCUAUGAUGAGAGAUGGCGAGGCCUUUCAGACCAAGUAUAUGUUCCAUGAAGCUAAUAGGGCUGCGGAUUGAGCGGCUGCUUAUGUAGCCAGCCAUUCCGGUAGCACCUUAUAGGCUAGUGAUGGAGAGUUGCCCUUGGCACUCCGAGACAUUUUGUUUUUCAACUUUAUUGGGUGCAUCUAUACUCGUCAGGUAUGAUUAACCUGCUUUGGAUACCUAAUACCUACUUUAUACCUUCCCAAUGAGAUUCUGUUUCUGAUGUGGCUUUUUUGCCAAAUUCUGAGAUAGGCCAACAAAAUCUUGUUAUUCUUGAAUGGAUUGAUUAGAGUUGAAAGACUUAUUUUUCCUUAUCCAAUGCCCGAGCCAUGUUUAUUUGGCUGAUCAUGACAUUACCAAACUCGAGAUCAUGGGAUGAACCCAACUUACCAGCAAAAAGAAAUGCUCUGUUUUCUUUUUCAAGUAAAAGAGGAGAAGAAUAACAAGAAUGGGAGGUAGGAAAAGAAAUGCUGUGAAACCACUUCCCAUGAUAUGGCCUUGUCCUUUGGCUAGUUUUUGGGAUGUUAUUCAACACAAUAGAAAACCAUAUAUUGGACUGGGAAUAUAUCAAAAUAAGUAUCAUGAAGCUUAAGUAGGCUUGCAUGUGCAAUUCAUUUUUGUGAUGACAUUGUUUAGAAAAUUUUGCUUCGAGGGAUUUAUGCCUCGAGGUCUGUUCUUCGUGUCUCUAUGUUUAGCAUAUAAUUCUUCAAAUAGUCGCAAAUUUUAGAACUAAAUUUGCAACACAUUGCAGAGGAGUAAAUUUUUCGAUCUGACUUUAGAGGCUAGACUAGUGCUAAGAAGGCUAGCAUAUAAAAUAUAGAUCAGGACAUCAUGAGAAGACCAAUGAUCCUUCAGUGAGUUGGAGUUGGGCUAGACUAAUAAUUGAUGCUUGGUUGCAAGCUUCAAGUGAAACAACUUUGGUCCAAGAUGGAUAUAAGAAAAUGAAAUUGAACCCAGAUCAUUUUCAUGGGUUAGACAAAAUUUUGGCAUCAAAUAUACUCUUUGCGGCUUGUUGCUUGACGAGAUUUAGUGAUAGGUUAGGCGUGGACCUUUGCUCUCUAGACGAGGUAGAUAGAUUGAGGUUGAAGCAUUGCAUAAUAAAAAUCGUUGAAUAUUGGGAACUAAAUAAGAUCAUUGCAAUCUAGAAGGUUAGUUUCUAAUGGGUUUAACACCCCAGCUACCACUUUGCGCGCCAUCUAACUACCACUUUGCGCGCCAUCUAACUGCAUGAAUAUAUUGGUAGGGAGUGGUUGGGACAGGGCAUAUGGGUUUGCUCAGAUUAAAGCGAUGCUUUCCCUAUAAUAUGGAUGAAACAUUGCCCACACUGUCUUGCAUCAAUUAUCUUUUUUGAAGAGAAAUUGAGGGAGAGGGGCUGGGUGGCUGCCCAUGCGGCUCACCACUCAAGGUACACCCUCUCAUCAGAAGAGGAGGAGCUGCCACAUGCACUCCGCAAAUUAGUGUUUUUUGACUUUAUUGGGUGUAUUCGUACACGUAUUGUAUGAAGAACCGCUUCAGAAAAAAAAAAGAAAAAAAAAAGAAAGAGAAAUUGAGGGAGACAUGUUGGAUUUUCUAGGGAUGCACUAUCCAAGAAUGAAAUCUAGAACUUUGGUUGCUAAGUAGAGGGGUGUGAUCACUUGUGUAUGCCCUAGUUCAUGCAAUUAGAAAUUUAUUAAGAUAGAUAGUAUAUUACGGUUAGGUUUAGAAGUAUAUCACUAUAUUGAGCUACUCGAUGAAACAUUGCCCAUACUAUCUUGCAUCAAUUAUUUUUUCUGAAGAGAAAUGAAGGUAGACAUAUUAUAUUUUUGGGGAUGCACUAUCCAAGAACCAAAUUUAGAUCUAAGUAGAGGGGUGUGACCACUUGUGCAAGCUCUAGUUCAUAUAAUUAGAAAUUUAUUAAGAUAGUAUAAUAGAUAGUAUAUUAUGGUUAAGUUUAGAAGUAUAUCACUAUAUUAAGUUACUUGAAUAAUUUAGAGAAGAUUAUAGUGGCACCCUCUUAAUUUUGGACACAUCCUAGAGACUCCUUCUUAACUUUAAAAAGUUUCAAACCGACCUUCCAAAUUUUUAAAUCGUUCCAAUACGGCCUCUCCGUUCAUCUCUAUUGAUAGAGCGGUAGCAUGUGAUCAUCACAUAAUAGCAUAAAAUGGGUAUAGGACAAAAAUACCCUUGAUAUGUAUUAAAUGGGAUAGAACCUCAAAGGAUCUUUCGUGCAAAAUAGACUUACUGUUUGGCUUAUAGUUAAGGAUCACCCAUUGCACAAAUCUCAAAGCACUCCAAAUCCUUUCAUUCAUCUACUUACGUAAAUCUCAAAAAACUCUUAUUAUAUGACCCAUGGUUAAACUAUAGAAAUUCCUUCAUUCAUUUGACUGCACAUAUCUCAAAGCAUCCUUAACAUAGGAUCCAUAAUUAAUGAUCAUCCACGUGCGGAUCUCAAAGCACUCUGGACCCCUUUAAUUCUUCCACCUGCAUAGGUCUCAAAGGGCCCUUAAUAUACGACUCUUAGUUAAGAAUCACCUACCAUACAAAUCUCAAAGCACUCUGAACAUCUUUAUUCAUCCACGUACAUAUAUCUUAAGGCAUCUUUGCUAUAUGACCCAUAGUUUAGAAUCACCUACUACACAAAUCUCAAAUCAAUCCAAACCUCUUAAUCCAUCCACAUGCACAGAUCUCAAAGCAUCCUUGCAUGCGGACAAUACUUAACAAUCACCCGUUGCAUAGAUCUCAAAGUACUCCAAACUCCUUCGUCCAUCUGCCUUCAUAGAUCUCAAAGUAUCAUUAGUAAAUGGCUUAUAAUUAAGGAUCAUCUAAGAUGCAAAUCUUAAAGCACUCGAGAUCCCUUCAUUUAUUUGCUUGCCUAGAUGUCAAAGCUUCCCUUAGCAUAUGUAGCCCAUAAACUAAAGAUCACCCAUGGUAAAUAUCUCAAAACACUUCGAACUCCUUCAUUCAUAUGCUUGCAAAGAUCUUCAGAGCACCCUUAGUAUAUAUCUUAUAGUUAAAGAUCACCAACCGCACAGAUCUUAAAGCGUCCUGGACUCUUUUAUUCAUCCACCUACAUAGAUCUCAAAGCAUCCAUAGUAUAUGACUCAUAGUUAAGGAUCACCCAUCAUAUAGAUCUUAAAGCACUCCGAAUUCUUUGAUUCAUCGGUUAGAAGACAUCCAUAGAUGUUUGAAGAGAGUGAGGGUAUUUUGGUCAAUUCUAAUUGUAGGCUAAUAGUGUUGGUUGGUUAGAGAGCUGGAGGACUGCUUUGGAAUGAUAUGAAAACUUGGAGGAUCAAUUUGAAAUUUUUUAAAAUUUAGGGGAUGUCUUGGGGACAUAUCCAAAGUUGAGGAGGUAUCACUAAAUUUUUUUCAAAAUAAUAUAGGUUUUCUGCCUACAUACCCUCCUAAAUAUUAGAAUUUGCAUGAAUACCCUUUCAAAAUUGAUAUUUGCAUAUAUACCAUCAUAAAACACUUGUUUUGUAUGUAUACCCUUCUUUUUUCUUAUUUUUUGCAUAGGUUCCAUGUCAUCUAACGUCGUUAAAAAGUUACUGGUUUAAAAUUAAAAUGAUGAAAAUAUCCUUAAUGGGUAAAAUGCAAAAAGAAAUAUUUAUAAGGGUAUACAUGUAAAUAGCAAUUUUGGAGGAUAUUCAUGUGAUUUCAUAUAGUUAGGAGGGUAUACACACAGAGAAAAAUCAUCUGAUUUUUUGAAUAUAUACCCUCCUAAAUAUUAGAAUUUACAUAAAUACCCUCCAAAAUAGAUAUUUACAUCAUGCCCUCACCAAACACUAUAUUUGUAUGAAUACCUUGGGCUUAGUGAUUCAAUUAACAUGAUUUGCCAAAAUAAUAUUUAUUUAAAUUCAAAAUUAAUUAAAAUUAUAAAAUUAUUUUUUACCCCUCAAGGAGGUAACAAAUUAAUGGGUCUCGCUGGAAACUAGUAUCUCUACCUCCUUUGAGAAGUUUUUCGAUCUGUCUCGAUCCCUCUAUUUCACUUCUCUAUCCAGAAUCAAAACUAUUCUCUCGACUCGCUUCUCUACUAUAGGCAACCCUUCUCUCUCUCUUCUGUUCGUCGGAGUUCUCACCACCGAAAUUGGAGUCCCUCUCAUUACUACUGAAGUUCUCCUUUUGUUCUAUCCUUUUUUAAUGAAGAUGGUUAGGUCCUAUCUUUAGCUUUAAGAAUUAUUUUAAAAAAAAUAUUGUGAGAUAUUUAUAAUAUUUAGUGUAUGAGAUUUGCAAUGUUUAUCUUUUAGAGCUGAAAAAAUUUUCGUGCACAAACUGGUGGUUGAUUUAAAAUUAUUGUGAUGAGAUGGGCCCUACACACUAAAUUUUUUUUCUAGAAAAUUGAAGCUCCAAAAAAAAGUAGCUUAAAGUAUACAACUUAAGGGAUGACCUUCUACCACAUAGCUGCAUAGGUUGUUAAUAAGUUUGAAGGAUUCUAAAAAUCUUCAAUGAUUUUGUUUGGGAAUGAUUGAUGUUGUUCUUCCAUCUAUGAGCACAGCAAUAACAAGAAAGCUUGAUCAUUGCAAUAUAUCGUGUGAAUUUAAGAGAUUCUAAUUUCUUUUUAUAUUCUAAUAUAUGUCCUCAUAUAUGCAUCUAUAACAAUAAAUAUUACAAGCUAUGUUUCGAUAAAAUAAGAUAUAGUGGUUGUUAUAAAUGAAGAAAAAUAAAAUAGAAUAAUUUCAUGAUUAGUGAAAGAACUUUUAUAGCUCUUUUUGUUAUCUAAAUGUUGAAUCAAUAUUUUUCUUAAGUAAUAUUUUACAAAAAAUAUUGAGGAUCAAGCACUAGACUAAAGCCCUAGUGUUAAAACAAGUUAAAAUAGAUAAAAAUAAAAUUACUUUUUAUAUAAAUCGUUCUAAAUAUAUGAAAUUGCAUGAAUACCCUCGCAAAGUUACUAUUUAUAUAUAUACCGUUAUAAAUGUUUCUUUUUACAUGUCUACCUAUUAAGGGUAUUUCAAUCAUUUUUAAUUUUAAACUGCUAAUUUCGUAACGACGUUAUAUGGUGUGGGCAUAUAUGCAAGAAAAAAGAAAAAAAAAGUAUACAUACAAAAUAAGUAUUUUAUAAGAAUGUUGUACCUGCAAUAUUAAUUUGGAAAGGGUAUUCAUGCAAAUUUUAAUAUUUAGAAGGAUAUGUAAAUAAAAACACCCAAUAAUAUAUAGUUCAGAAAUAUAUAGUGUUACAAUGUAGUUCUCCAAAACAAAUUUUAAUACAUAGUUUUAUAUACACAAAUAUGUAUUACUUGUAUAUAUACUCCCCCCCUUGGCUUUGUCAGCAAAUCUUCUCUUAUCAUGUUUUAGGAUAAACCUUGAAAAUUGUUGUUUGUUUAUAACUAGAUAAUAUAUAGCCCUUUCUUGUAAUCCUUUAAAAAUGCAAAACAUGUACUACUGGGAGGAUUUACGAAGUAAGACCCUCAAAAUUUUUGAUGGUUCUAGAAGCACCAUUAUUUUUUUUCUUUUUUUUUCUUUUUUAUCGUGGAGUCACAUCAAAAGUUAUCGUGAGUUUAGUUGGAUUAGAAAGCUAUCAUCCCCAAUCAAUUUGUUUUGUUGGAAUUGAAUUUUGCUUGGUUACUCAGUCAAUGUCAUAUCUCUCCUCCUCUCCUACCAAUCAUUCUUCUUCUUAGCCCUUGCAAGUUCAUCCUCCACUUCCCGUGUACAGUUUAUAUGACACUUGGACCUUCAAAUUUUUUGGGGACUUGGAUGUUUUGUCCAUCCAUCGGCUCUCAUGUAGAGUUGGUGACUAACCAAUUUUGGACAUAGAAAAUAUUAAAUUAUUAAAUUUCAAAUAAGUCCAGCCCAAGUCUAACUAAAAAUGAAUAUAAUUAGGUCAAAAGCCCACACGGGAUGGCAGACUGAGCAAGCCGAAGUGCUGCACACGGCCGUUGCGACGGCCAGACGGCAGUGGCGCCUGUGCGCCGUGGCAAAGACAGGAGCGUGCCGGCUCCGUCAGGGACGAACGGUGCGCGGCAUGUCUGCCGCGAGUCAACGGGCUAGCGCAGAGCGGAGCAGAAGGACCGCUGCGACAACAACAACCCCAUCCCUACCACCUCAGUGGGGCAUCCACCUAAAGUCCACCCUUAGGGUUCCAAAGCACUGAGAAGUAUUGCAAACGGGAACGACCCGGACGGGCGUCCUGGUCGCACGGGAUGCGCAUCCCCGGCCGUUAGGAUCGCGCUUCUCGGAAGGGCGGAGCGAGGAAGCCGAAGUACUGUGCACGCCGCUGAUAUGGCCGUCCGACAGCGACUACCGAGCGCCGCGGCAAAGAUAGGAGCGUGCCGGAUUUGCCGUGGUUGUAAGGUGCACGGCACGUCCGCCACGAGCCAACAGGGCUUGCGCGGCGCGGAAGGCCCGUUGCGAUGACUUGCCCCUACCACUGCAGCGAGGCAUCCGCCCCAAUGCCCACCCCGAAGGUUCUAAAUUACUGAGGAGCAUUGUAAACGGAGCCGGCCGGGACGUGCGUCCCGUUCAGACGAGUCGCGGGUUCUGCACCGGCCUCCGAUUACAUCUACUCUCCUACUCUAAUACGAGCCAUAUAAGAUUUUAAUUAGUCCAUCCAGCAUUGAAGAUUUUUGAAUCUAGCAAAUCUAUUUCUUAAUACAUUUAUGCUUGAGAAUCAAAUUUGAUUUUUUCCAAGUAAAUUGAGGUAGAUUGGUGGGUAUGGGAUAAAAAUCACGAGCCGCGAUUUUUCAUCUUCAAGGUUGGAGAGUUCAAUAUCACUGUCCAUGAAAUAUUUAAUUUUCUGAUCAAACCCCCUCUUUACUCCUUUAUUUCAGUUUUAGCCCUAAGUCUAUGCUCACAUUUCCCAUUCCAUCUGUGGCGGUAAAGAAAGAGUAAUAAAAUAUAAAUAAAUUAAUAUAUAACCAAAAUAGGAAAGAGCGAGCGAGAGAGAGAGAGAGAGNNNNNNNNNNNNNNNNNNNNNNNNNNNNNNNNNNNNNNNNNNNNNNNNNNNNNNNNNNNNNNNNNNNNNNNNNNNNNNNNNNNNNNNNNNNNNNNNNNNNNNNNNNNNNNNNNNNNNNNNNNNNNNNNNNNNNNNNNNNNNNNNNNNNNNNNNNNNNNNNNNNNNNNNNNNNNNNNNNNNNNNNNNNNNNNNNNNNNNNNNNNNNNNNNNNNNNNNNNNNNNNNNNNNNNNNNNNNNNNNNNNNNNNNNNNNNNNNNNNNNNNNNNNNNNNNNUCAAAAAAUCUUUAAUUUUUCAGUCGGAGUUGGAGAUCUGUUAGGGUUUUUGGCUGGAUCUUGGUGGAAUAGGGAAGGAGGUUCCUGGAUUGGGCCGGUGUCAGCUCGAUUCGGUACUCGCUGUGAUCUCUCUUUAAGGGGUUUGGAAAUGGGUAAAUCAGUGGUUCGGUAAAUUUUGGGGAUUUCUUCAGUUCCGACCGUUGGGGAGAAGCGGAAUUUUAGCUUAGGUGGUGGGUGUUUUUUGGGAUCCGAUGGCAUCUCCUCCUCCGUUCCAGGCGGAGGACCAGACGGACGAGGAUUUCUUCGACAAGCUCGCGGAUGAUGAGUUUACGAUCGAUGGAUCUCAGUCCAGGGCUCCGGAUAUGGCGAAAGAUUUGUCUAAUCUCAGCCUAGGUGACGUUGGUACCUCGUUGGAGGAUUCGGGAGAGGCUGGGCUUGCCUCCGAAGUGGAAGACCGGCAGGAAAACAGGACCUUGAAGUCUUCUUGGGCUGCCAAAAGGACAGCUUGGAUGCAGAAGGGAGCAUGCUUUCUGAUUCUUCUGAUGAUAAGGCGGUCCGAUCGGACAGUUCUGCGGAGCCUGCUACUGAGAUUGGUUCGCAAGGUUCAUCGACGAUGAAGAGUGGUGGAUCAAAGGGGACCAGUGUGAAAGAGGUGCAGUGGAGCGCUUUCAGUGUCAGCUCACAGCAAUUUGACAAUGGAGGGUUUGAACCCUAUUCCAACUUCUUAACUGAGAACGCUGAUGGGUCUGCUAAUAAGCUGAAAGCUGAUGCUGACCCGAAUUCUAGUUUCAUAAGAAACACGGAUGAAAAUCUAAAUACAUAUGUUGGUUACUCUGAACAACAAGGCAACCAAUUCUAUAGCUCAGGUAACGAGCAGAUGGCAGAUGGAAAUGCUGCACAGUAUUGGGAAAGCCUUUACCCAGGUUGGAAGUACGACCCAGGUACUGGGCAGUGGUAUCAAGUGGAUGGUUAUGAUACAGGCAUCACUGGACAAAUGGACAGCUAUAAUGCAGCGAGUGUAGCCCAAGAGAGCUUUGAAGAGAAGGCUGCUACUGUUGCUGUUGGGCCUAUUCUUGAGGGAUCCAAUGUUUCUUAUCUGCAGCAAAGUGCUCAGUCAGUGUUGGAGACCAUAGCAGAGGAUAGUACAUUGAGUAGUGUUUCUAACUGGAAUCAAGUUUCUCAGGAGAGUACAGAAUUCCCAUCUAAUAUGGUGUUUGAUCCUCAAUACCCAGGAUGGUAUUAUGACACAAACACUCAGCAGUGGUAUACCCUUGAGUCAUAUACUCAGACCACACAGAUAGCAUCUAGUACAGUUCAGGAUGAGGUGACUCGAGUUGUGCAUUCCUCAGCUGGUUUUUCAGAACAAAACCAAAGUUUAUAUGAUGAAGUUGGCCAAUCCGGCCAAUACUCCGUUUGGAGCCAGGGCAGCCAAGAUUUUGGAGGAGUUUGGAAUUCUUCCACAAGUAACUACAUGCAACAGAGUAUGUGGCAGCCUGAAACAGUUUCUGAUAAUAAACACAUUGGAGAUUUCCCUGGAAAUCAGCAGUUGAGGAGCUUUUACAGUUCAACAGGGCAUGCAGGAAGUCAAACAGAUCAACAAGCAGGUCUCAAGACCUUUGAGCCCUCUGUAGAUCAUAACUAUGUCAGAAGUAAUGGUGUGGCCAGAUCUCAGGGCUUUGUUCCUCACGAAAGCACAUACCAGUUUAAUCAGCCAAAGGGGGAGCAGGGCCUGCAGUCACAUUUAUCUAACAGUUAUUAUGGCAGUCAGAGCUCAAUAGACUAUUCUCAGCAACCAUUUCAGGGUGCUAAUGCGUCUUAUUCUCAGUUCUCUUACACUCCUCAUGAAGGGAGAUCAUCAGCUGGACGUCCUGCACAUGCAUUGGUUACCUUUGGAUUUGGUGGGAAACUCAUAAUCAUGAAAGAUGCCAACUCUUUUGGCACAAUUGAUUAUGGAAGCCAGGUGGGCUUCAAACAUGUUUCACUUCAAUCUAGCUAAUAAGAAUCAUUAUUAAUUGUUUUAGAAACUUUCAGGUUUUGCUGUGACUUUGUAAGAUCAUUCAAGAGUAGCCUUUCUCCAACUAAACCUUGUUUAUUUGUGCAUUUUAAGGGCACUGCUGCUGGAGCAGUCUCAGUUCUAAACUUAGCAGAAGUUGUCAUGGAUAAAACUGAUGCAUUCAGCACCAUUAGUGGUGGUGCCUUUGGUUACUUUCAUUCUUUAUGCCAACAAUCCUUUCCUGGUCCGCUUGUUGGUGGGAAUGCUGCAACAAAGGAUAUAAACAAAUGGAUCGAUGAGAGGAUUGCGAGUUGUGAAUCUCCUGGCAUGGUCUUCCAGAAAGGCGAACUUCUGAGAUUACUUCUUUCAUUACUGAAAAUAUCAUGUCAACAUUAUGGAAAACUUCGAUCUCCUUUUGGAUCUGAUCCUUCACUAGAGGUAGUCGUUCUCUUAUCUUAAUGCAAUAUUAAAUUUUUAGUAUAUCUUAUUGCAGUUAGAUGAUUGCGUCUUGAAAUUAUCUAUGCAUUUAGAUCUUUAUCCUUUCUUCCUGCUUGUGCAAUUGUGUUUCACAGUUUACAUAUUUUCCUCUCAAUCUUCUUCUUCAUGUUAAAAAAAAUGGUGAUCUGUUGGAUCAUUUAUGAACUUCUACAAAGUUUCCACACAUUCCCUUUUUCAUAAAUUUUGUCUGGAUCUACUUGAGCAUCUUCAUUAUUUUGUUGGGAAUACUCAUUUUUCUUCUGCAAAACGUGCACCUCCUAAUGCUUGUUGAGGUAAAAGAGAGCUCUGUGCCUGAUUAUAUUCUUGUGUAAUUCCUUUUUCAAACUAAAAUUACAAAGUUGUGCUGGAAAAUAGCCAAUUCAAAAGUAUCAUGUUGGCAUAAGAGAUAUAGACUCGUUCUAUUCUUUUCCUUAUUUGUAUGCUUCUAAUAACAAAGUUACAAUAACCCAUGCCAAUGUUAGAGGCCUUAUGCCCAAACCACUUUGAGGCUUAAGCCUUUACCUUUGGAGGCUAAGAUGUCUUGCUGCUGCCCUUAGUCUGUCAGAAACCACAUGAAUGCUACAGAGAAUUGCUUUCUAUACUCAUAGUGCUUCUAGUCAAGGUUGAAAUCUGACCUUUUACCUGUUAACUCCCAUCCCAAUUAAGAAGAGAGUAGAAAGGCAUCAGCUGUGUACCUUCUUGGGUUGCAGUUGGACUGAAUUAAGAACCUUUAUUAUACGGGAAAAAAAUAAGGCAGCGACCAACUAGAUAAAACUGUAGAUAUGAUCUUUGGAACAGAAGAGCAUGGUAAACUAGUCAUAGAAAUGUGAUAAACCAUGUUGGUGAAUUAGUAGAUAAUUAACAUAAAAAAGUAGAGUACUUAGUUAUUUUUUUUUGUGUGUGAGACUGUAUGUGUGCGUGACUGUGAAAGAAGGGUUGGAACAAUUGUGUGUUCCUAAGUCGUUUGUGUUUAGGGCCGGAAGUGGGCCGGGCCAGGUCGGACCACACCCCUCCCCAAGCCCGGCCCGAAAUUAUUUUUCGGGCUUCGGGCCGAGCCUAGGCCCGAACAGUUUUACAAAAACUCGGCCCGAGCCCAAUUGGGCCAGCCCGAUUGGACUAAAGUCCGCCAGGCCGAUCACGAGCCCGGCCCGAGCCCAUUUGGUUCCCAUAAUAGCUUCCAACAUGCUGUCAACCCUCUAUAAUAGCUUGAAAAGAAAAGACAAGCUGCAUGAUGUUAUCUAAAAGGAAAAAAGAAAAAAUAGCUUCAAAUAUGACAUGUAGCUUCAUCUGUUUAUCAGGCUCCAGAACCAAAAUUCCAGGUAGAGAAUCAUGAUAACUUCCAGGUAACGCAGCAUGAAUAAGAACCUUGGAUCCAAAAGAGAGAGAGAGAGAGAGAGAGAGAGAGAGCACAUAUUUCCAAACCCAUUUUGAGCCCAAAGCAGAGAUUGCACUAAAUCUUUCUCUUUUCUUCCCGAUUUUUCCACUAAAGAUCGCCAACAAACCAAUUUAAGUCAUAAUUCUUGCGUCCAGACAAAGAGAUCAGAGAGAAACAAAAUCCAAAUUCUUCCGUGAAGAUUCCCAAGUUCCCAUUUGAAACCUAAAAUUCGAGUGCAAUCGAAGAACCUAAACAUAAAUUUCAAGAUUUAAAAAUGUUUCACACCUCUUCCAGGGAUCGAAAGCCCUCAGAUCGCGAUGGGGGUGAGGAGGGGAAGAUCAUUCGUACCUCAAAACCUAGCUUUGCCGACAAUAGGGUGGUCGGGGCUCCUCUUCACCACUUCGCCGAGCUUGGACGGUCGACGACGACUGGCGAUCGGCGACGAGCCGACAAGGAGAAGCGGAGAAACCCUAGCUCCACGCCUCCACCGCUCGUUCGCUCUGACGCCUCUGCAAAUCCCAACCAAAAGGAAGAAGAUCAUUCGUACCUGAAAACCUAGCUUCGUCGACGAUAGGGUGGUCGGGGCUCCUCUUCACCACUUUGCCGAGCUUGGACGGUCAACGACGACGACUGGCGACCGGCGACGAGCCGACAAGGAGAAGCGGAGAAACCCUAGCUCCACGCCUCCACCGCUCGUCCGCUCUGCACCUCUGCAAAUCCCUCGGGCAACAACCAACUGGGUAGUCUGGGUUUAAGUUAAACCGCGAUUUGGCAAACCCCUGUGAUUCGGCAAACCGCGAUUCGGGCUACUCGGGCUGGAAGUGGGCUCGGGCUGGGCCGGGCCCGGGCCGGGCCAAUGAGAUACCCGUGCCUGGCCCGAAAUAGAAAUGGGCUUAAUUGUUCAGCCCGAGCCCGGCCUGAAAUGCAUUGGGCCUAGCGCAUAGCCCGGCCCGCGGGCGGCCCGACCCGAUGGGCUCCGGGCCAGCCCGAGCCCACUUCCAGUCCUAUUUGUGUUAUAUCUCUUGUGUUGCAUUAAUGCUUCAUCAAAUGAUCAAUAAAUGGGUGAAUGACCUCUAGCCCAUCUAAAGAAGCAUGAGAAACAGAUUCUGUUUUUCUAGCUCUAGAAAUGACCGUAAACAGUGACUGAAUGCACCUGUUUUAUACCUUCAGCUUAGGUUAACAUGAGAAUGUGCAAGCACUCGAAACUAUUCUAGAACACUUCAUCCGUAAUUCCUUUUAACCACUAAUAAACACAAGGAGAACAAAAGUGUCAAAUUACUGUAUGAAACCAAGCUACUUUAUCCACAAGAUUUCGGGGCAUCAAUCUUUCUUGAUACUGAAUGUUCAUAUUUUCUGAGCCGCUAGGUCAGUCAAAUUAAUUUGAAGCAUUUUAAAGUGCUUCAUGUGGGUGUUUGCCACUCUGCUUCAAUGUUUUAUCCCCCCCCCCCCCUCCCUCCUCCUCCUCCUCAAACAAAAACAAACAAACAAAAAAAAAACUGUAUGUACAAUGGACUCUUAAAAUGCCUUGCAAGAAGCCCCUUUAACUAAUUCUUUAACAGAAACAAAUUCUUGAUCAAGAACUUGUUCCCUAGGUGUCAAAAUAACAAGUUGAAGCAUGCUACUGAUUGCAUUGGGGGAUCAAAAGGCGCUAUGGUAUAUCAAAAUAGAUGAUUUAAGUAGGAAGCAGUUGGUGCAUGGGAAUGGAAAUGGAGAUUGGUUUGGUUAAUCAUGGUAGGAAAGUCAGAAGUUCUGCCGAAGGCAUGUUAAAGGAGAUUAUUUGAAAAUGAUGGAAUAUAGCUGUAAAUUAUAAUUAUUUGCAUUAACAAUCUUGAGGUCUUUGCUAGCUUGACUUGCUCGGAGUUUAGGGAAGCAGGAUUUUAUUUUUGAAAGCUAGAAAAUGUUUAGAUCUGUUAAAUUUGAAUAUAAGCAACAUUGUAGGAUUGAUGUUGGACAAAAAUAAGGUGAUUGUUAGCAGAACUAUGUAGAAUUUAGAGCAAAAACAGCCUUUUCAAAAUGCAUUAAACAUUUAGAAGAUCAGUUUUGGAGGUUUAAGACUGAUAACUAUAGAUGAAAAAGGAAAUUUGAUUUAAUAAAAUGCCCAUAUAAGGGAAUAAAGGCAAGCUUGUGUGCUUAUAGAUAUUAUAUCAUGGAACAUCGGCAUCUUGGGUUGGAGGGAAACAAAAAACAGAACCUCUUUGUGCAUGCUAAUAGCGUGUUUUUUUAGAAGACUGCCAUUAUAGGUUCAAGUUAGAAGCAUUGUUGAAAAGAAAAGAUAUUCUUUUUAUCCAGUGGAGUGCCAGUGGUAUGGGUGAGUGCCACCCUUUGAUUCGAGACAUCCGGGCCAUGAUCUGUGGCGAGGUGGCAUUCCAGGCUAAGCAUGUUUAUAGAGAGGCCAACUAGGCUGCAGACUAGGUGGCUUUAUAAGUGGCCAACCACUCCGGAGAUACCCUUUAUCGGAAAGAGGGAGUUGCCCAGUGCGCUCUAUGAUAAGUUGUCUUUUGACUUUUUUGAAUGUAUCUGUGCUAGAAUUGUAUGAAUCAUUUAUUUCAACCAAAAAAAAAGAAUAUCUCUUUUUCAUUUAAACAAGGUUUAUGCUAUCUGGAAUACUUUAUUGUUGGCAGGCCACCAUGUUUGGAUAAUAACUGCAAUAAAUGAUUUUGAUGAUUGGGCUUGGAGAGUGAAUGAGGAUUUGAGCAUUAUAUAUGAGUUCUUUUGGGAAAAAAAUUGAGGAGUGCUGAAAACAUGAAAAGAGUAAAAGACUUCAUCAAAGGAUUGAAUAUUUGCCUUAAGGAAACUAACAGAAAUUCAUGCAAUAAAAGAAAUGAGAGAGAUUUGCAAACUUGUAUAAGGGCAAAAGGAAAAGAAGAGAAAACAAAAUUUUGAUAAUAAUGAAGGCACACACAAUCACAAUACAAUUCAAGUGGAAGAUCUUCUAUUAAGGCAAGCUAAUACUUUAUAUCAAAAAUAAAGAACAAGUUUUUGAUGGGGGUGUUGUUGGGGCAUAAAGCAAAGUAUUUUGAACAAGUUCUGUAAAAUCAAGCCCAGUGUGUUGAGGUCGAGAAGAGAUAAGAGAUACUGAGCUGUUGAACUUCAAUAAUGUGAAAAUAACACCCAUUAUAGAUGGUUGCAAAUGAAAGGAGAAGAGUUAUUAGUUGUUAUGCGUGGUUUUGAGCAAUCAGAAUCUUGAGGAUGUGUUCUAAUCGAGGAGUGGGAAUGAGUAACAUAUCUUUUUUUAAGCUGCAGAGGAUAACUUGUUAGAGUUUAUUGACUUGUUGGGCAGGUGUCAGGGUGUAGACUCUUGCAAGUUGCUUAUAGG